GAGGCAUAUUGGACAAUGGGCGCAAGCCUGACCCAGCCAUGCCGCGUGGGUGAAGAAGCCCAUCGGGUUGUAAAGCCCUUUUGUUGGGAAAGAAAAGCAGCCGGCCAAUACACGGAUGUUCUGACGGUACGCAAAGAAUAAGCACCGGCUAACUUCGUGCCAGCAGCCGCGGUAAUACGAAGGGUGCAAGCGUUACUCGGAAUUACUGGGCGUAAAGCGUGCGUAGGUGGUGGUUUAAGUCCGUUGUGAAAGCCCUGGGCUCAACCUGGGAACUGCAGUGGAUACUGGAUCACUAGAGUGUGGGAGAGGGUAGUGGAAUUCCCGGUGUAGCAGUGAAAUGCGUAGAGAUCGGGAGGAGCAUCAGUGGCGAAGGCGACUGCCUGGGCCAACACUGACACUGAGGCACGAAAGCGUGGGGAGCAAACA
Molecule: ribosomal RNA, 426 nt
Filed under: uncultured Lysobacteraceae bacterium
Lineage: Bacteria; Pseudomonadati; Pseudomonadota; Gammaproteobacteria; Lysobacterales; Lysobacteraceae
Description: bacterial SSU rRNA
Rfam family: Bacterial small subunit ribosomal RNA
Source: RNAcentral